Emys orbicularis (European pond turtle) is the source of this 73-nucleotide non-coding RNA. The record is from the annotation of a RefSeq genome assembly. Lineage: Eukaryota; Metazoa; Chordata; Testudines; Emydidae.
GGCUCUGUGGCGCAGUGGCUAGCAUGUUGGACUUCUAAUUCAAAGGUUGUGGGUUCAAAUCCCACCCGAGUCA